RNAcentral lists this ribosomal RNA (495 nucleotides) under uncultured bacterium. RNAcentral's name for it is "partial 16S ribosomal RNA". It matches the Rfam family "Bacterial small subunit ribosomal RNA", at positions 28 to 523 of the family's 1533-position model. The record is from RNAcentral.
GAUGAACGCUAGCGGGAGGCCUAACACAUGCAAGCCGAGCGGUAUUGUUUCUUCGGAAAUGAGAGAGCGGCGUACGGGUGCGUAACACGUGUGCAACCUGCCUUUAUCUGGGGGAUAGCCUUUCGAAAGGAAGAUUAAUACUCCAUAACAUAUUGAACGGCAUCGUUUAAUAUUGAAAGCUCCGGCGGAUAGAGAUGGGCACGCGCAAGAUUAGCUAGUUGGUGAGGUAACGGCUCACCAAGGCGAUGAUCUUUAGGGGGCCUGAGAGGGUGAUCCCCCACACUGGUACUGAGAAACGGACCAGACUCCUACGGGAGGCAGCAGUGAGGAAUAUUGGUCAAUGGGUGCAAGCCUGAACCAGCCAUCCCGCGUGAAGGACGACUGCCCUAUGGGUUGUAAACUUCUUUUGUAUAGGGAUAAACCUACCCUCGUGGGGGUAGCUGAAGGUACUAUACGAAUAAGCACCGGCUAACUACGUGCCAGCAGCCGCAGUAA